GUAUUAAAUUUAGUACGGUUUGAUUUAUUAUUUAGUUAUUAUUUAUUUUUUUUUAUAAUUUUUAUUGGAAGUGACAGUUGUUUUAUUAAAAUUUUGAAUAAAUUUUAUUUAAUUAUAGUUUAUUAGUAUUGUGAAAGAAUUUGGUUUUUAUUUUAAAAGGAAGUUUUAUUUACUGUACCUUGUGUCUCAGGGUCGAUUAAUUAAAAUUUAUAUAUUUAUUUUUCUCGAAUUUAGAAGAGCUACAAUAUUAUAUUUUUUAUUGUUUAAUAAAUAUUAUAAAUAAUGUUGUAGGAGUGAGAUGCUAUUCGAUUCUAAGUAUAUCUGGUUUUCAAAGAAAUUUUUUUAAUUUAUUUUUCAUUAAAUAUUUAUUAUUAUUUUAUAUUUUAAAUAUUGUUGAAAUUAUAGGGUAGAUGGGAUGAGCUUUUUAUCUAAUUUAUAAAAUAUGUGUUUAUAUUAAUCUUAGAAGUAGGAAUUAAAGUUUCUUUCUUAAUAGUGUUUUAUAACAAGCUAGGUUCAUUUAUUAUUUUUAUUUUAUUUAUUUUGUUUAUUUGAUUAAUUAUUUUAAUUGUUUAAAUUAUUAAAUAAUGAUUGAAUUAGUAAAAUUUUUUAUUUUUUGUUUAAAUAUUUGUUAGUUGAGAUUAAGGAACUCGGCAAAUAUGUUUUUUACCUGUUUAUUAAAAACAUGUCUUUUAGUUUAUUAUUUAAGGUCUGGCCUGCCCAAUGAUUUUAUUUAAUGGCCGCGGUAUUUUGACCGUGCAAAGGUAGCAUAAUCAUUAGUUUCUUAAUUAGAAGCUGGAAUGAAGGGUUGGAUAAGAAAACUUCUGUCUCUUUUUUAUUGUUAUUGAAUUUUAUUUUUGAGUAAAAAAGCUUAAAUGGUUGAUGAAGACGAGAAGACCCUAUAGAGUUUUAGAUUUGUUUAAUUUAUUUUAAUUAGGAUUUUAUUAUAUAUAGGUUAAGUGUAUCUUUGGUUGGGGUGACUGAGAAAUUUAAUUAACUUUCUUUUUAUUUUUACAUUGAUUUAUGAUUAUUUGAUCCUUUUUUUUAGAUUAUAAGAAUAAAUUACCUUAGGGAUAACAGCGUUAUUAUUUUUUAGAGUUCUAAUCGAUAAAAUAGUUUGCGACCUCGAUGUUGGAUUAAAAUUUUACCUUGGUGUAGAGGCUUGGGCUUUAGGUCUGUUCGACCUUUAAAAUUUUACAUGAUCUGAGUUUAAACCGGUGUGAGCCAGGUUGGUUUCUAUCUCUUUUUAUUUUAAAAUGUUUUAGUACGAAAGGACCAAACAUUGUUUUUAUAAAUUAAGUUUUUGAAUAUUAGUAUUGUUUUGGCAGAAUAGUGUUUUAGAUUUAGAAUCUUUUUAUAUAGGGAUAUCCC
This 1368-nucleotide ribosomal RNA is filed under the name Scolytinae sp. BMNH 1274282. RNAcentral's name for it is "16S ribosomal RNA". The stretch from base 1070 to 1228 matches the Rfam family "Archaeal large subunit ribosomal RNA", at positions 2542 to 2701 of the family's 2987-position model. Lineage: Eukaryota; Metazoa; Arthropoda; Insecta; Coleoptera; Curculionidae. The record is from RNAcentral.